GACGUCGCCCCUGAUGGAGCGGAAGUGGCUCAGAUUCAUCGUGGGGGAAUUAACCACUGGGCGGAGCUUCAAUGUUGACCUGUCUUGCGAUGAUAUCAUAACACUGCAAUGAGAGGACGGCGCCCUUCUGCAUCCCUGCUCGAGUGACCGACGCUGUAAAGUGGGCCAAAAGACAGUCAUGGGGAAUAAAAGGAGGAAGGAUGCCAAUUGAGCCCCUCAUCCCUUUAUCACCAGCAACAAGACCGCAGCCAGCAUCAAACUAAAGACACGGAGAGAAUGGCUCAGUCUGUGAGGAGGAUGGACAUUGUCGGGACCAUGGACUGCAAGCCUCAGAGGGACAAGAGCCGAACCGGCUACUUUGGCAAUGUUAAGUCCAGGCUGGGCUCCAAGCUGCCUCUCGGUGUGUCUCAGCCGCCACAGUUUGCUAAGCGGUCCUGGGACACUCAACCUCAGGCCCGAGGUUUACAGGAGCCUUUAGCCAGCAACCAACAGUAUUGUCAUCAUCAAUACCAACCCCCCCUUGGUCGACCUCUGGACCACAUCCCUCACAUCAGAAACCCUAUACUGCGACAGUAUUACCUGCAAGGAACCUCAUGGGAUGUGAACACUGCUGUGAAACAAGAGCACACGGGCCGACACGCAUCGCAUGAUGGCAAAAUCCGCACGGAUGAGUCAGUGUUCAGCAUCUCAUCGCGCUUCAGCAGCAGUGACACAGCUCCCCAUUCCUCGUCACAAUCAUCACCUUUGUGUGCUGCCUUGGUCCACACAGAGCAGCAGGUUGGAGCAGGAAAGGACACGUUUACUGAACAAGGAUCACUUCAAGAUCAUUGUAGACAGAAGAUGGAUGCAGAUUCUUUGGAUCUCAUCUCAGCUCCGGCUCAGUCACCCUUGCCAGAAGCAGAAUACGACAAACUACUGGAUGUGGAGGCGGUACCGAUGCCUGAUGGGCAGCUCUGCCUUUUGGCUCUUCCACCGGAAUGCUGUGAGGGGGAGGGGCCAGAUGCCACACCUUACCUAAAAUUGUUCUGCCGCCACAUCACUGACCGCAAGGGUGUGGUUUCUGGUAUCCUCCUGGUGACGACAAACAAGAUCUUCUUUGAUCCGUGCAAGACUCACUCCCUAGUGAAGGAACACGGCUGUGAGGAGUACCUCCUCUCAUGCUCCGUGGACAACCUGGCGUCGCUCUCCUUCUUCUCGGACAUCUCACACGUUCACUUCUCCCACUACUCCCAGCAGAGGAGAAGAGGGAAGAAAAUUUUCCAAAGGCUAAAAACUAGAAAGGGGGAAUCAGGUUCCGCUUUGACACUUGCAGCUUUGUCCAGUCUGAGUCUUAAAGAAGAGGCUGCGGGAAGUAAGACGACCACAAGGGUGUCGGAGGAGUUUGCUAGCAGCCAGAAUGAGGUGUUGUCAGAAGCAUCUGGAGGAGCUCUUGGCAUGGCGGCCACCUUCUGCUGUGGAGCUUCAGAUUUGACAAAUCAAGUCAAGAGUGUAGAGUCAGUGGAGAGUUCGACUACAGUGCCUGGAAGGUCGUCAGCAGGAAGUCCAGGAAGUGUCAUGUUUGUGCGUCUGCGGGUUCAGUCGCCUGCAGGAAAGACAAAAAGUGCAGGAGGCUUUCAGUUUGGGAUGAACCAAGCCACUGCAGCUAGAAGGGAAGCUUGGCUUGCCCUCUCACAAGAGAGCUCCGACGAGCUGUAUGCCUUCCUUACGCACCGGCGACCAGACUUGUGUCUACUCAAGGGCGGAGAAGUGGAAGGAGAUCGCCAAGAAGAGGAGUUCGUACUGGUGGAGGACAAAGACGAGGAGGUGGAGGAAGAAGAGGAGGAAGUGUCAGAGAAACAGCACAGCUCCGGGGAAGACUGGGAGAUGGUGUUGAUGGAGGACAGCGGUGGGGACAAGCCAGCCCUGCUCACUGCUGACAAGGACCCUGAAGGACUACAGAAUAUUGUAGAGAACAGCCACAUUUUGGAAGCUUCACAUGUCAGAGAGCUAUGCAAGGAGCUGCCCCCCAAGACGGUGGGUCAUACCUGGCAGCCGGCGUACAGCACGUCCCGCCACGGCGCCAGCCUCAAGUCCCUUUACCGAAAACUGAGCGCUACGGAUUCGCCGGCGCUCGUCGUCAUCAAGGAUGCGCUGGACGAGAUAUUCGGUGCAUUCCUGUCGCACCCGCUGAGGCUCAGCGAGGCGUUUUACGGCACGGGGGAAACCUUUCUCUUCAUGUUGCAUCCGCGAUUCAAGUGCUUCAGGUGGACUGGAGAGAACUCCUUUUUCAUUAAAGGGGACCUGGACUCCUUUGCCAUUGGUGGCGGGAGUGGUCACUUUGGUCUGUGGGUGGAUGAGAAUCUGUACCUGGGCCGCAGCAGCCCCUGUUACACCUUCAAUAACUGUUCCCUUUCGGAAACCGACGACUUCCGAAUCAUGGAGCUGGAAGUGUGGACGUUCAGCUGAGAGGGAGCCUCUGUGGCGUCGGACUGAACGAGCACGGCCGUGAUUCCACGCUGUACCGGUCAGGUCAGACUUGGACGAUUCGGACUUUGGAGCGCUCGCUGCCUGAAGGGACGUUUUAAUGGAGAUUGAACGUAAGCGGGCGUUUCCUCCAGGACGCUUCAUCAGCAACAUCAUCAUCAUCAUCAUCAUCAUCAGGCGCUGCCCGGCCCCAGGGAGAGCUUUCAGACAGAACCGUCACAAACGGCUGAGACGCGCCCCGGAGGAGGCUGGCCCGCCACUGGGUGACGCAGUAGGAAAGAUGGCGGAAUGGUGCGUGAGAUACACAGAAAAGGUCAUAGCUCCUCAUUUAUGUGUGCUUGUAUAAUAGUAAUAACCCAAAUGAAUAGCAGCUCUCCAUGCCUCUCCACUUAAGUCUUGGAGGCCUUCUCUUCCCUUAUCUCAGUUCAAUAGCCACAGGAAUGACACUCUACUGUGCCAGGUACUGCUUGGCCCUCUCCAGCCCCUCCUUCAGGAAGCUAAUGUAAGUGGACGUCGAGGGAUCUUCAAACCCUCCAGAGAAGCUGAAAGUGGUUCCCUCCCCCUCUUCAUCGGGCUUCAUGGCCGUCUGGUCCAGGAAGAAGUUAGCAUUGAUGUGAUGGACCUAAAGAAGCAGCAGAAAGGUAGAAGCAGCCUGACAUUUCCCUUCAGUCCUGAUGAGUCACCUUUAAAAUGCCAGCAAAUUUUCCAAGUGCGAAUAUCCUGGUGAAAAUAUACGUACAGUAUGUUAAGGAACGUAACCUCCUAAAACAUAACUCAAUAGCGCCCCCUGAAAACAGUACAAGGAAAAAGUAGAGUAAUCAUGGUUAAUUGAUUUCACGAAAUAGGAUAUCUUCUUCUCUGUAAAUGGGAUAUGUUUGUAGUUACGACAUUGAAAACCUGUUUACGAUUUUCUAAAUACGUUUUUUUAACAUUAUUAGAACUCUCUAAACGUGAAGUAACGCCACUAUAGUCACAUUUACAUCUGUAUUACCUAAGAUAGCAGAUAUAGAACCUACCAAAGGAAAGAUAACACUCCCGUCUUUCAUCAGAAAAAAAGUUUGUUUCUGCCUUUUUUUCGUUUCUGAGUAAUCAGCAGUAGAUCACAGGAACGUUUCAGGAAAAUAUCAGUUCCCAAUAAAAGGAAGGACAAAAACGGCUUUUUGUAGAAAGAUACAUUUCAAGCAUAACUUUGACGCAAAUAUUUUUUGCUUUUGUGACAACUAAAAUAUCUCAACAAUUAUACCACAACUUAUUUAUUUUACAUCAAAAUAAUAAGAAUUUUAACAUUUGGAACUAAACCAUGUGAGUAGGAAUUGAACUGUGUGUGUGCAUGUGUGUGUGUGUGCACGUGUGCGUUCGUGUGUGCAUGCCUUAAAAUUUCCUGACAAUGUGCAGUACUGCAAUGUAACAGCUGCCUUUAUGCAAGGGCUUCCUCUUCCUGUCAUGUGUUUCUCCUUCCUCCCGUGAUGCACUUCUGCCACCUAGUGGCCGUUUUGAUGGCGUUAAAAUUGCUCUCAAGCCAAAACAAUUGGUGAGGAGUUGCAUCACCAUCUCCUUUAGCCUUGUUUGCUGGGAUCGGAUGUUCAGGUUUAGAAACACGUAAAACUACGUCUUUGGUAUUGAAUGAGUUAUUAUUAUUAUGUUAUUACUGUGCCUGUUGUGAGAUGAUUUAAACCUGCAAUAAAAGUCUGCUUGACUGACACCUUGUGACCAAUGUAGUUUACUACAUUCACAAUUAGAUUGGGUCUUCUUAAUGGCUUAUAUUUGUAUUUUAGUUCAUUUAGUCAUGUUUAUGCUUGAAAAAAUAUGUACAAUUUGCUUAAAUAUGCUUUUUUUUUUAAAUAAUGGGCUGUAUUCAGCCACAAAACAUUAUUUAUUAAUAAUAAUUAAUAAUAUAUUUACUUAUAUGUGUUUAUUAAUGUACUGUAUGUUUGAAAAACCGUGGUAGAGCGAGGCCGCAAAAUUUGAACUGCAAUGCAGCAAGGAACGACUUUAUUCUGCAGUCUGGAGAAGCCACGCCUGCAAACACACAGGAAGUCGGCCAUUUGGUUUAGCAGAUGCCAUGUUGAACGUUGUUUCGAUCAAUUCCGGGCCUAGGUGCCCAGAUUUGAACCACGUACAUGUGACACGUGUGGCGAUACUAAAUUGUGAAAUGACUUUUCGCCGUGGAGUGUGGUGACAAUUUGCCUCGCUAAAAACGACAAAAGAAACCCGCAUAAAACUCAAAUAAGUCAGCCCCGUGCGGUCAGCUCUAAACCGAACGUCUCGUAUGCGAUGACGGCCCUGCCCUGGAGAGAUUCAUGUGCCCCAAGUGCCAACUAGUGGUGACAGGAAAUGUCUAAAAAUGACUUGUCCUCCAAGGUUCGACUUACAAUAGUUCCAUUUGGCAGUGCAACCAUCAUCUCCACAGGGAACGUGUACUUCUCAAGGUGCAAGCGAGCUUUUUCACUCAGUGCAGAGCGACGCUCAUCAGCCUGGAUCGGAGAAGCAAACGCACUGAAUUAAAUGCAGUGAAGACGUGGCUUUAUUCAAAUCAUCUGCUUUCUUCUCCCGGCUGUAUUCCCACCUGCAUGUUCUCCAGCUCUUUGACCAGAGACCAGCUGCUCACAAAGCUCCGGUUGAGCAGAGCCAGUACGGGCGAACUUUCCAGGACUGUCUCCCGGAGAGUUCGCCCGGAACCUGCAAGACGAAAGAGACGCACGUCAGAGAUCCGUCAGCUAGCCAACUGCACUUCUCUAAAACUGAAUUCUCAAAGAGACUGUUGCUGAGUUGACAUCACAGCAUAUCGUCGUAAUCCCCAGAUAUCAGCAGUUCAGAUGCUCCUCAACCUCCAAGCUAUUUCAUGGAUUUUUUUUCCAUAGAACAUUUCUCAAAGAAGGCAAAUCGUCUGUUCCAGGGUUAAACAGUUGCCACCUUUCUAAAAUUAUACAGGAACUUUUUUUUUUUUAAUGGUCAUACAUGUGGAAAAAGAAGUUAACACUUGAGGUCAUGACGGACACCGCUUUGAAUACAAUUCCGAUUGCUUCACAUGACGUCACAUGUACAGUGACAGGCAAAAGUAUGGCGACACUUAAGCAUGUUACUCAAUGACAAGGUGUGUCCAAACCUUUGACUGCUACUGUGUAUUCCUGCUGUGCAAAAAUAACGCCUCAGAAGCCGAAGACAAAGCCAAACCCGCGCCCAGAAUGCUUGCUGAGGUCUCGCACGACAUCCUAAACGACUGACUUGAAAGUCUCUGCUUUAGAGGUAUACUGUCUCAAUAAACUGAAUAUCUUGCAAAAUUAUUGCAAAAAAGUGAAACUUAUCAAAAAACGUUGGCAUGAUAUUCUCAUUUGUGGAGAUGCGCGUGUAUUUUGGUUAAAUUCUGUUCUACUACGGGCUGUUAGCAGGAUAGGAAUGACAUCCGAGCAUUCGUGUUUCUGGCAAUGCCGUGUUUUUAUGCAGUACCCUCACCUCAGCAGGACUGGUCAUCUAAUGCUCCCCAAAGCAGAAUUGAGUGCACCAACUUGUUCUCUGCCUCGGCUCGCUGGAAGGCCUCAGAAAAAGGCAAGUAGGAUACCUGUGGACACGGUGGGAAAACUGAUCAGGUCUGUAGCAUGUUGAGUGGAGCUCAUGUACGCAACAUUGUAUUUACCUUCUUGAAGGGGUAAAGGGUGACCUCCAGGCGACGUGCGGCUUCUGGACGAUUGAUCUCUGUGGUCCAGAUAAUGUCCUCAAAGACGAACUGGAUGGGUUCAGUGUUGCCGCCUCGGCUGUCGAUGAUGUUGCCCUCCUCGUCCGUGAUGAUGGAGGGAGUCGACGGGCCAGUGGACUGCAGCUCCAGCUGGAACACACAGGGGGGAGGAAGACCCUGAACUGGCUAGCGAAGAAGGACGAGGAAGGCACGGUUGGACUCUUCCAUGAGCGCAGACCACUCAGGCAGCUGUGAGAGACCUGCAAGAACAUACAUGCUCCUUGUAAACAAACCUUCACACGUCAAGGACCCUGCUUCUUUAAUUUAU
RNA transcript from Dunckerocampus dactyliophorus (ringed pipefish), 6464 nucleotides. It is a transcript of the gene named oxidation resistance protein 1, with no coding region annotated. NCBI's taxonomy places the organism in Eukaryota, Metazoa, Chordata, Actinopteri, Syngnathiformes, Syngnathidae. The transcript has 18 exons. The record is from RefSeq and is a predicted model, not a curated record.